This 524-nucleotide ribosomal RNA is filed under the name Staphylococcus pragensis. RNAcentral describes it as "bacterial SSU rRNA". It matches the Rfam family "Bacterial small subunit ribosomal RNA", at positions 24 to 530 of the family's 1533-position model. The record is from RNAcentral. Lineage: Bacteria; Bacillati; Bacillota; Bacilli; Caryophanales; Staphylococcaceae.
UCAGGAUGAACGCUGGCGGCGUGCCUAAUACAUGCAAGUCGAGCGAACAGACGAGGAGCUUGCUCCUCUGACGUUAGCGGCGGACGGGUGAGUAACACGUGGGUAACCUACCUAUAAGACUGGGAUAACUCCGGGAAACCGGRGCUAAUACCGGAUAAUAUUUUGAACCGCAUGGUUCAAAAGUGAAAGAUGGUUUUGCUAUCACUUAUAGAUGGACCCGCGCCGUAUUAGCUAGUUGGUAAGGUAACGGCUUACCAAGGCGACGAUACGUAGCCGACCUGAGAGGGUGAUCGGCCACACUGGAACUGAGACACGGUCCAGACUCCUACGGGAGGCAGCAGUAGGGAAUCUUCCGCAAUGGGCGAAAGCCUGACGGAGCAACGCCGCGUGAGUGAUGAAGGUCUUCGGAUCGUAAAACUCUGUUAUUAGGGAAGAACAUACGUGUAAGUAACUGUGCACGUCUUGACGGUACCUAAUCAGAAAGCCACGGCUAACUACGUGCCAGCAGCCGCGGUAAUACGUAG